Molecule: ribosomal RNA, 460 nt
Filed under: uncultured bacterium
Lineage: Bacteria
Description: partial 16S ribosomal RNA
Rfam family: Bacterial small subunit ribosomal RNA
Source: RNAcentral
CCUACGGGAGGUUGCCGUGAGGAAUAUUGGUCAAUGACCGUAAGGCUGAACCAGCCAAGUAGCGUGAGGGAAGACUGCCCUAUGGGUUGUAAACCUCUUUUAUGCGGGGAUAAAGGUGUCCACGUGUGGAUGUUUGCAGGUACCGCAUGAAUAAGGACCGGCUACUUCCGUGCCAGCAGCCGCGGUAAUACGGAAGGUCCGGGCGUUAUCCGGAUUUAUUGGGUUUAAAGGGAGCGUAGGCCGGUCUUUAAGCGUGCCGUGAAAUUUUGUGGUUGAACCAUGAGAGUGCGGUGCGAAAUGGAUACUUUGAGUGCGCGGAGGGCAGGCGGAAGUCGUGGUGUAGCGGUGAAAUGCGUAGAUAUCACGAGGAACCCCGAGUGUGAAGGCAGCCUGCCGCAGCGUUACUGACGCUGAAGCUCGAAAGCGCGGGUAUCGAACAGGAUUAGAUACCCCUGUAGUC